GAGGGGUGGGGGGUGUCCCUCAGCCCAGAUUGCGAGAGGGCUCAGGCCAGGCCAAGGGAUACCACUGGUGCACA
Molecule: microRNA precursor, 74 nt
Filed under: Myotis davidii
Lineage: Eukaryota; Metazoa; Chordata; Mammalia; Chiroptera; Vespertilionidae
Description: mir-9193 microRNA precursor family
Rfam family: mir-9193 microRNA precursor family
Source: Rfam by way of RNAcentral